GGGAAUGUGAUUCAGUGGUAGAGUAUUUGCCUCGCAUGCACAAGACCCUGGGUUCAAUCCCUAGCACUGCAA
Molecule: transfer RNA, 72 nt
Filed under: Ictidomys tridecemlineatus (thirteen-lined ground squirrel)
Lineage: Eukaryota; Metazoa; Chordata; Mammalia; Rodentia; Sciuridae
Description: Spermophilus tridecemlineatus (thirteen-lined ground squirrel) tRNA
Rfam family: tRNA
About the family: Transfer RNA (tRNA) molecules are approximately 80 nucleotides in length. Their secondary structure includes four short double-helical elements and three loops (D, anti-codon, and T loops).
Source: Rfam by way of RNAcentral